Molecule: ribosomal RNA, 486 nt
Filed under: uncultured bacterium
Lineage: Bacteria
Description: bacterial SSU rRNA
Rfam family: Bacterial small subunit ribosomal RNA
Source: RNAcentral
AUUGAACGCUGGCGGCAUGCUUUACACAUGCAAGUCGAACGGCAGCACGAGUGCUUGCACUUGGUGGCGAGUGGCGGACGGGUGAGUAAUACAUCGGAACGUAUCCUAAAGUGGGGGAUAACGCAUCGAAAGAUGUGCUAAUACCGCAUAUACUCUGAGGAGGAAAGUAGGGGAUCGAAAGACCUUAUGCUUUUGGAGCGGCCGAUGUCUGAUUAGCUAGUUGGUAAGGUAAUGGCUUACCAAGGCAACGAUCAGUAGUUGGUCUGAGAGGACGACCAGCCACACUGGGACUGAGACACGGCCCAGACUCCUACGGGAGGCAGCAGUGGGGAAUUUUGGACAAUGGGCGCAAGCCUGAUCCAGCAAUGCCGCGUGAGUGAAGAAGGCCUUCGGGUUGUAAAGCUCUUUCAGUUGAGAAGAAAAGAUUGUAACUAAUAAUUGCGAUCCAUGACGGUAUCAACAGAAGAAGCACCGGCUAACUACGUG